CCUACGGGAGGCAGCAGUGGGGAAUUUUGGACAAUGGGCGCAAGCCUGAUCCAGCAAUGCCGCGUGCAGGAUGAAGGCCUUCGGGUUGUAAACUGCUUUUGUACGGAACGAAAAAGUCUGCCCUAAUACGGUGGGCCCAUGACGGUACCGUAAGAAUAAGCACCGGCUAACUACGUGCCAGCAGCCGCGGUAAUACGUAGGGUGCGAGCGUUAAUCGGAAUUACUGGGCGUAAAGCGUGCGCAGGCGGUUAUAUAAGACAGAUGUGAAAUCCCCGGGCUCAACCUGGGACCUGCAUUUGUGACUGUAUAGCUAGAGUACGGUAGAGGGGGAUGGAAUUCCGCGUGUAGCAGUGAAAUGCGUAGAUAUGCGGAGGAACACCGAUGGCGAAGGCAAUCCCCUGGACCUGUACUGACGCUCAUGCACGAAAGCGUGGGGAGCAAACAGGAUUAGAUACCCUGGUAGUCCACGCCCUAAACGAUGUCAACUGGUUGUUGGGUCUUCACUGACUCAGUAACGAAGCUAACGCGUGAAGUUGACCGCCUGGGGAGUACGGCCGCAAGGUUGAAACUCAAAUGAAUUGACGG
RNAcentral lists this ribosomal RNA (585 nucleotides) under uncultured bacterium. RNAcentral's name for it is "bacterial SSU rRNA". It matches the Rfam family "Bacterial small subunit ribosomal RNA", at positions 338 to 916 of the family's 1533-position model. The record is from RNAcentral.